ACCUCUGCAAUAGGCGAAAGCUUGACAGGGUUACUCUGAGUGAUGCCCGCUAAGGGCAUCUUUUGGCACCUCUAAAAAUGGUGCAGAAUAAGGGGUGGGCAAGUCUGGUGUCAGCCGCCGCGGUAAUACCAGCACCCCGAGUGGUCGGGACGAUUAUUGGGCCUAAAGCAUCCGUAGCUUGUUCUGCAAGUCCUCCGUUAAAUCCACCUGCUCAACAGAUGGGCUGCGGGGGAUACUACAGGGCUAGGAGGCGGGAGAGGCAAACGGUACUCAGUGGGUAGGGGUAAAAUCCUCUGAUCCACUGAAGACCACCAGUGGCGAAGGCGGUUUGCCAGAACGCGCUCGACGGUGAGGGAUGAAAGCUGGGGGAGCAAACCGGAUUAGAUACCCGGGUAGUCCCAGCUGUAAACGAUGCAGACUCGGUGAUGGGUUGGCUUUGAGCCAACCCAGUGCCGCAGGGAAGCCGUUAAGUCUGCCGCCUGGGGAGUACGGUCGCAAGACUGAAACUUAA
This 511-nucleotide ribosomal RNA is filed under the name uncultured archaeon. Its description in RNAcentral is "bacterial SSU rRNA". It matches the Rfam family "Archaeal small subunit ribosomal RNA", at positions 346 to 859 of the family's 1478-position model. The record is from RNAcentral.